Molecule: long non-coding RNA, 339 nt
Organism: Quercus robur (English oak)
Lineage: Eukaryota; Viridiplantae; Streptophyta; Magnoliopsida; Fagales; Fagaceae
Exons: 3
Source: RefSeq, a predicted model, not a curated record
AUUCCGAUCCAACCUCAAAUCCACAUCCAAUCCAACUCAGCGGCGCCUCUUCCGUCUCUCUGCCCUUUUGUUCGAAGUUUCCACCGUUUAUCGAAUCUAAAAUCUCAGGUUGCUAGGAACAAAAUCAAUAUAUUAUUCCUUUUGGUUCAUAGCAGAAAAAGCGUGGUGCUAGAAAAGACCAUACUGGUGAAGAAGAAACAUGGCAGCUAUCAUGUUUUUACCCCAUGAUUGAGGUAAAAUAAACACUAAUUUCCUUUCAGAUGGUUCUAUGUAUAUAGGACAUGCCUGUCAUCAUUAGAUAUCCCAUAUUUGGGAGUACCUUUGUGGUCUUGUUUUGGC